This 342-nucleotide ribosomal RNA is filed under the name uncultured Pseudomonadota bacterium. Its description in RNAcentral is "bacterial SSU rRNA". It matches the Rfam family "Bacterial small subunit ribosomal RNA", at positions 29 to 351 of the family's 1533-position model. The record is from RNAcentral. Lineage: Bacteria; Pseudomonadati; Pseudomonadota.
AAUGAACGCUGGCGGCGUGCGUAACACAUGCAAGUCGAACGAGAAAUUCCGGGCUUGCUCGGGAGAGUAAAGUGGCGCACGGGUGAGUAACGCGUGGAUAAUCUGCCCUUCAGCGGGGAAUAACCCAUCGAAAGGUGGGCUAAUACCUCAUAACACUAUUUCUGCUUCGGCGGGAUAGUCAAAGACGGCCUCUGUUUACAAGCUGUCACUGAAGGAUGAGUCCGCGUACCAUUAGCUAGUUGGUAGGGUAAUGGCCUACCAAGGCUGCGAUGGUUAGCUGGUCUGAGAGGAUGAUCAGCCACACUGGAACUGAGACACGGUCCAGACUCCUACGGGUGGCAG